RNAcentral lists this ribosomal RNA (320 nucleotides) under uncultured Pseudomonadota bacterium. RNAcentral describes it as "bacterial SSU rRNA". It matches the Rfam family "Bacterial small subunit ribosomal RNA", at positions 29 to 348 of the family's 1533-position model. Lineage: Bacteria; Pseudomonadati; Pseudomonadota. The record is from RNAcentral.
AUUGAACGCUGGCGGCAUGCCUUACACAUGCAAGUCGAACGCGAAAGCGGGGGCAACCCUGUGAGUAGAGUGGCGAACGGGUGAGUAAUGCAUCGGAACGUGCCCCGUCGUGGGGGAUAACGAGUCGAAAGAUUCGCUAAUACCGCAUACGACCUGAGGGUGAAAGCGGGGGACCGCAACGGCCUCGCGCGAUGGGAGCGGCCGAUGUCCGAUUAGCUAGUUGGCUGGGUAAGAGCCCACCAAGGCGACGAUCGGUAGCUGGUCUGAGAGGACGGCCAGCCACACUGGAACUGAGACACGGUCCAGACUCCUACGGGAGG